UUUCCAAACCCGUGUAUAUAAGGCAUCUAAAAAACCUAAACUUCUCUACAUCCACAUUCUUCUCCUUCGCCGCAUCAUACUUGAAACCCUAGAUUCACAUCUCAGCUACGCUAUUCCAGAUCAUAUUGCCUCUUCUGCAAUUUCUCUCACAUCUCAGUUCUUCCAGUUCUCCCUCAACCUCAGUUCCACCAUUCAGCGAUUUCACUUUGGAUCUUGAUGAUUAGUUCAAAAGGUAGAUUGUAUGAGGAUAUGAACACUUCUCUCGCCAUUGAAGAAUAUAUAAACGGUA
This is a long non-coding RNA of Helianthus annuus (common sunflower), 289 nucleotides long. RefSeq lists it as uncharacterized. NCBI's taxonomy places the organism in Eukaryota, Viridiplantae, Streptophyta, Magnoliopsida, Asterales, Asteraceae. The record is from RefSeq and is a predicted model, not a curated record. The transcript has 3 exons.